Molecule: ribosomal RNA, 207 nt
Filed under: uncultured bacterium
Lineage: Bacteria
Description: partial 16S ribosomal RNA
Rfam family: Bacterial small subunit ribosomal RNA
Source: RNAcentral
CGUGCAGGUGGUUUGGUAAGUUGGGUAUGAAAUCUCCUGGCUUAACUAGGAGAGGUUGCUCAAAACUACCAGACUAGAGGACGGUAGAGGAAGGUGGAAUUCCCGGUGUAGUAGUGAAAUGCGUAGAUAUCGGGAGGAACACCAGUGGCGAAGGCGGCCUUCUGGGUCGUUCCUGACACUAAGACGCGAAAGCAUGGGUAGCAAACG